This 254-nucleotide ribosomal RNA is filed under the name uncultured bacterium. RNAcentral's name for it is "partial 16S ribosomal RNA". It matches the Rfam family "Bacterial small subunit ribosomal RNA", at positions 524 to 776 of the family's 1533-position model. The record is from RNAcentral.
UACAGAGGUCUCAAGCGUUGUUCGGAUUCAUUGGGCGUAAAGGGUGCGUAGGUGGCGCCGUAAGUGGGGUGUGAAAUCUCGGGGCUUAACUCCGAAACUGCAUUCCAUACUGCGGUGCUCGAGGACUUGGAGAGGAGACUGGAAUUCAUGGUGUAGCAGUGAAAUGCGUAGAGAUCAUGAGGAAGACCAGUGGCGAAGGCGGGUCUCUGGACAGUUCCUGACACUGAGGCACGAAGGCCAGGGGAGCAAACGGG